This 8195-nucleotide long non-coding RNA is filed under the name Equus caballus (horse). RNAcentral's name for it is "lncRNA (ENSECAG00000058544.1)". The record is from RNAcentral. Lineage: Eukaryota; Metazoa; Chordata; Mammalia; Perissodactyla; Equidae.
CUCAGUUUCCCCACCCUUCAAGGUAGAAGAUGAGGAUCACAUGAGGUCAUGAAUAUGGGAGCACUUUGGACAUUGCAAGCUGCUGUCUGUGGCCGAAGGGUUAUCAGUGUAGUGAUGCAGAAAGCACCAAAGGGCCCCUUAUCUGUGAGGACCACCCUGUGGGCCCCCUACCCCCCACAGGAUCUUGCUCUGAGUCAGGGUGCUGAGUCUCCCCAGGCCUCCCUGACGUCUUUCCUGCUUGGAGGAGCAGAAGCAUUGGAGGCACUGUAACCAGCAGCUGUGAGGAAAGUGCUGCUGGCCCCUGUUUAGCAGAGGAAGCAACUGAGGCACAUUAAGAUGCAGACAGAAGAAACAAUGUCACUUCCGUGGUGCUCCUGCCGAAGAUGCAUAACCUGAAUCUAAUCCUCAGACAAAACCCAGUGAAGGGACAUCCUACAAAAUAAUAGCCAGUCAUCUUCAACCUUGUCAAGGUCAUGAAAGUCUGAAGGAUUGUUCCAGGCUGCUGGGGAUCAAGGAUCCACGACAACUAAAUGCCAAUGUGAUUCUCCCCCAGGGCCGAGUGUCAGAUGGUGUCUGCAGAUUCUGUGGUGGGACACGCGAGUGUUAGUGUCCUGGCGGAGACGGCUGUACUGUGGUUUAUAGGAGAUUGUGCACGUUUGUUGGAAAUAACAUGCAAGUGUUCAGGUGAAAUGGGGUGUCAUAUCAGUAACUUACUCUCAAAUAGUUUAGGGAAAAAAACUUUACGUGCUGCACUUGUGGCUUUUCUAUAAACUUGAGAUUGUUUCAACGUUUAAAAUCUACAUAGUAUAAAAAUGAAUCGACUUAUUACAGGAAAAAAAUGCAGACAGUAAUCCUCUGUCUUCAGGUUGGAAUGGUGGUGAGAUGAACUCUGUAAUCGUGAUACCAUUUUAUUGAGCUCUGACUGAGGGCUUUCCUUAGGUCACCCCAUUUACUCAUCAUAUGCUUCGUCUGUGAAGUUGGUAUCUUCACCCCCAUUUUUCAGAUGGAGAAACUGAGACUCAGAGGGUUGAAGUGACUUGGCCAACGUGGCUGAAUUUGCAGCCCUCCGACUCUGCACCUCACUGUGCUGCCUUCCCUUGAGCUGCCUCAGCCCAGUGCCCGCCCCAGGGCCAACACCGCCCUUCUCUUCUCGUCUCCACCAGUCAAAAUCUUCCUACUCAUCCACACCCAGCUUUAGUGCCAUUUCCCCAGGAUGUCUUCUCUGAUUCCCCCUACUGGAUACAACUGUCCAUCCUCUGAGAUCAGUCCUUCUCAUGGUCAAUCAUUCAUUCAUUAAAAAAAUAUCUGUUCAGAGCCUUCCACAUGGCGAGCAUCGUGCCAGGGGCUGGAGAUGUGCUGAUGUAUAAAACAGACACUGUCUCUGUCCCUGUGGAAACGGCGACUAAAAGCGUCAGUCAACAAACAAAUACACAUAGAAUCCCAAAUGUGAUCGAAGCCACCAAGGAAAGAACAGGUGCUUUGACAGCGGGGUGGUGAGAAAGCCUCUGGGGAGGACAGCGUCAGGGGCACAAAGGAGCCAAGUGGUGGAAGAGCGGAGCCAGGAGCUGGAGGAAAACCAGUACACCAGAGGACGGAGGUGCUGGGGCUGAGGUCCUGGCUAGCAGCAGGCAGGGCCAGAUCGCACAGAGGCUGUUUUUAAGGAAGCUGAUCUUUACUCAACUGCAGAGGAAGCCCCCAGAGGGUUGUGAGCAGGAGAGACCUGAUGAGAUUUACAUUUUUAAAGAUCACCCUGGUGCUGCUGUGGACGAUCAGAGGGCACAAGAGUAGAAGCAGAUGGGUCCUUAUCUCUCCCUUGCUGUUUUCUGGUGAGUCCAGGUCUUAUCUUGCUUUCUAGAGAGCUCCUUGAGGCCAGGGAUGGCGUCUGUCUCAGAGGUCGCCCAGCCCAGGCUGUUUGUCCCAGGCCUGACCGGGGGGCUCUGUCUCCUGGCCUAUGCUCUGUCCCUGAGGACAAUCUGGGACACACUCUGCUCUCAGCUCGCUGGUGCUCUGCGGCCCCAGCACGGGUGGAAUGUCUGACAGAGGAGCACACGCACGUGUUCUCCAAACAGACCUUGAUUCAUGUUUCCAGGAGAAGCUCGCAAACAGACUCCUGCCGGCCGCAUCCAUCAGGGGAGAGAUGGGCUCUGUAAACAAAGGUCCACAGGCUGUCUCCAUCUUCCACACAGACACCCAUCCCUGCCGGCCACUGGCAGCCCCUGGCCCCGCCCUGGCCAUGCUCUAUGCCAAGCCCCUAUCCAGAGCCUCAAAGACACACUGCCCCUUACCGCCCCGUCUCGCAGCUGAGAAAACAGAGACUGAGAGAUGUUAAGUCCCUUGCCCAAGGUCACAUAGUCGACCCAGCUACUACACGCGCUAUACUGUAUUCUACUCUGCCACUAAUGAGAAUAGUAGUAACUCACAUUCGCCGAGGGGCACUUGUGAUGUGCUGAGCACUGUUCUAAGGGCUGUACGUAGAUUAACUCGUUUCAUCCGCACCAUCACCCUGUGCAGUCAGGGCUCUUACUUUCCCAUUUUUCUUAAGGGGAAACCAAGGCCCAGAGAGGGAGGUCAAGUGAUUGCCCCAAGUCACUCUGAGAGUGAUUAGGGGAGGGGGGACUGGAGCCGGGCAGGGAGAGCCCAGUGCCCACGGGCUGCUCUCUGGUACUGCUCCCCCGGCCUCCUGGGAGCUAAGAGCAGGCCCAUUCUUCUCCCUCACCUUUCUCUCUGUUUGAGAAUUUGAAAAAACCGAGGCCCAAAGGAGGGAAGUAACUGGGUCCCAGCCGCCCGGCUUCCACGGCAGAGUGGGGCCUGGAGCACGGGACCUGUGGGCUUUCCUUUUCAGAGGCCAGGAUAGGAGCCAGGGGUAUGGUUCUACUCCCAGCAAUGCUGCUGCCUUGCUGUGUGACCUGCAACAAGUCACAUCCCCUCUCUGAGCCUCAGUUUCCCCAUCUGCUCAAUGGGAAUGACAAUGCCAGCCCUUACCCACGUUAUAAGCCCUGCUGUAAAACCGAGUGUGUGAAGGGGUUGUGGAACAGAACAGGAUGAGUUUCGCAGCCUGGAUUCCUGUCCCGUGAAUGGAAUGUCCAAGCAGCCCCAGGGGUGGGGCUGGGCUGGGCCUCCUCCAUAGUGAGACCCCCCACCUUGGGCUCCAGCCCAAAUUGCCAGACACAGGCCUGAGAGGAGGGCCUCCCCUCCAGGCGGGGGUGACCAGGAGCCAGUCGGCUGGCCAUUUGUCCACAGAUGGGUGUGCAGAUAAGAGGCGUCUGGAGAUAAGGCAGGGCCUGCUUGCAGCCUAGUGGCGAGCCAGGCCAAGCCCCUGCGGGGAGGUGGGGCGGAGAGAUGGGGAGCUCAGGGCGCCUUGGGCAGAGAGGGCUGGACCCCCGCCCCAAGGCCUGGGACAGAACUCUUUCUGCUGCUCCAUGGCACAGGCCUAGUGCCCUCCCCGCUUCCGGACCUGCCCCCACCUCCGACAAAAUAAGACAGAAUAAAGCAAACAAAUAAACAAACAAAAACAUAUACUUUUAUCAGAAGUGCUGCUUAAGCUAGACAAAGCCACCAGCUAACACCGGGUCCAAGUCUAGCCCUGCCACUGACUUCCUGGGCAGCAUGAAGUCACUGCCCGACUCUGAAUCUCAGUUUCUUCAUCUGGGCAGUGGGCACAGGCCUGUCUUUCCCUCCUUCCUCACAAAUACCAAGGAAUCCAAAUAAUAAGAAACAGCUAACACUGUGCUCGUCCUGGGAAGUGGGUACUGUUGUGAUCUCCACUUUACAGAUCCAUAAACUGAGGUAUGGAGGGUAGGUCACACAGCUGGUAAGUGGGGAGGCCAGGAUUCAAAUCCAGGCCAUGGGAUUCCAGAGGUGGGCUCUUAGCUGCUCGAAAUGUCACCGCCAAUGUUAUUAAAGGAACAAAGCAAACUGCAAUUAGAGCCCAUCUCAGUUUAAAAAUUACACACACUUAUGUUUGUAUAUUCAUAGACAUUUUUGGAAAAAUACACUUGCGAAUGUUAACAGCAUUGAUAUCUAGAACAGGGUUUCUCGACCUUGGCACUAUUGACAUCACAGGCUGGAUCAUUCUUUGUUGUGGCCUGUCCUGUGCACCGCAGGACGUUGAGCAGCACCCCUGGCCUCUGUUCGUUAGAUGCCAGUAGUAGCAUGGCCUCCCCACCCCCAGGCUGUGACAACCAAAAAUGUCUCCAGACAUCCCCAAAUGUCCCUGGGAGGCACCCACCCCCUCCCCCAUUGAGAUCCACUGAUAGAGGAUGUGACUAAGAGGGAUGUUUGCCUUCUAAGCCCUACCCUGAUAAUUUUGCCACGUGCAAGCAUGACACAUUGAAAUGAGAAGAAACACCAGUGAAGAUGAAAGAAUAAAGAGAGGUCAUUGGAUGGUGGGUGGGUGAGUAGAAGGAUAAAUGAACGUUGACCAAAGGAGGCAGAUGGAAAUCAGAGCCUCGGUACACUGGGGGAGCAUUUCGAGACCAUCCAGUCAACUCCUGCAUUUUCCAGAGAGGAAAAGGAGGACCAUAGAGGCAAGGGGCUUGUCUGAAUCCACAGAACAGGCUGGCACAGGGUGACAUGAAAGCUUGAGUGUGUUGACUCCUGGUCCAGUGCUCUGAACCCCAGAAUGUGAAAAGGCAAACGAGAGAACGGCUGCUCCGAGAAAACCUCCCUGCUUUGGCAGCUGGAGGGUCCUGGGGCUUGAGGGCAGAGCUGCCCCCCAGCCUGAUGUCUUCAGAUAAUGGCUGGAACGUUCUGGAGGCAAGUGACUCCACAGGUGACCUGGUCCCCUCGGUGUGGAGGGCAGACACCUGCACACACGGCAGUCCGCGCCGAGGGCCAGAUGAAGGGGAGAGUCUGUUCCCCCGCUCAGUGUGGUGCAGUGUGAAUGGAAGGCCGAUACAGACUGAGACAGGUCGGGGGGCCCAGAGCGCCAAGCGAAGGAGGUAGCGGGGAGCCUUAGGGCUGCUGAGAGCAGGACCACUCAGGGGACGAGCUGUGGCUACGGCUUUGAGGAGAACCUCUCCCAGAGAUGGCCAUAGUGAGGGCAACGACAGGUCUCCUUCUUGAACACUUAUAUGUGCCCGAGGUUCCACAGAGUGUCCCAGGGUGGAGGCGGGAUUCCAACCUGUGUCCCUCUGGCUCCGAAGCCUGUGCUCUAACCUUGCUCUCUACCUCAGUGGAGCACUGCCCAGCCAUCAGGACGAAGGCGGCAGCCACAUGACUCACGACAACCAAGAGGUGCAAACAAGCCGAGUGUCCAACGACAGCGGAAUGGAUAGCAAAGUGUGGUCCAUCCAUGCAAUGGAAUAUUAUUCAGCCUCAAAGAGGAAGGAAAUUCUGCCAUAUCCUACAACAUGGAUGAACCCGGAGGACACUAUGCUGAGUGAAAUAAGCCAGUCACAAAAUGACAGAUCCUGCAUGAUUCCAUUUAUAUGAGGCUCCUGGAGUCAUCAGAUCCAUAGACACAGAAAGCAGAGUGGUGGAUGCCUGGGGCUGGGGGUGGGGGGUGGGGAAUGGGAAUUAUUGCUUAAUGGGCACCAAGUCUCAGUUUUGCAAGAUGGAGAGAGUUCUGGAGAUGGGCUGCACAACAAUGUGAAUGUACUUAAAUCACUAGUGAACUGUACUCUUAAAAAUGGUUAAGAUGGUAAAUUUUGUGCUAUGUGUAUUUUACGACAAUUGAAAAAAAGGAUGAGGCAGAAGGUGGGAGAAAUAGGGCUCCCUCGGGGAAACAAACCCCCUGCGAUUUCUGGAAUAGGGAUUUGUUGUGGGAAUCACACCCUCAAACCAUUGGGGGAGUGGGAUUCAGGAGGGGGCUGGAGGAGAAGAGGGGCCCAGGGGAUCUGAGGAACCAGGGAAGGGGCUGCCCAGUGGGGAGCUGUGCCUCGGUGGCCGUGUCUCUACUGUCCGCCCUCCCUGGUGGGUCCCACCCCUGUCAGUCUGCUGGGCCAUUGGCCGGGAAAAGGAGCGGGACGUGGAGAGAAGAGAGUGAGGAAAGGCAGCCGUCAUCUCUGCGUCUGCCCAGCAGGGCGUCUGCCCACCACAAUCUGGAGCGGUUCAACCUCGAGAGAGGGACGCCGCUGCUCACUUCCGCCUUCGGAAUCUCCAUGAAUUCCUCUUCCCGCCAACUCUAAUGAAAAACCCUGCGUGAAGGGCAUUUGGGGAGACAGUUCUCACCUUAACCAAGAUCACCGAGAACAAAUCGCCACCUGGGGUAAUGGUGGAACAAUCUCCGAGAUGCACGGUUAACUGAAAAAGAUGGAGGAAAAUAUGGAUGGUAGGCAGGUUUUCUUUCCAAAUUGUGGUAAAAUACGCAACAUAAAAUUUACCGCUGUAACCGUUUUUAAGUGUACAAUUCAGUGGCAUGAAGGGUGUUCAUACUGUUGUGCAACCAUCACCAAUAUCCUUCUCCAGAACUUUCUCCUCAUCCCAAACCGAAACUCUCUGCACAUUGUUUUCUAAGGAUAUCACUCACACACACACACAUACACACACACACACACACACACGCUCUCCUCUCUACCUCUGCGUGCACACAGUAUCUCUGGAAAGAUACGCAAGAACCGAGAGACUAGCAGUGGUGUCUCUGGAGAGGGAGACGGGCAGGCAGGGGUGGGACGGAGAUUACUGUGGGAGACUUACUUUUCACUUUUUAUUCUUUUGUACCCUUUGAACAUGUCUUUUUCUUAAUUUUUUCCCCCCAGAAGCUGUCCUCAUCCCCUAAUUCAGAUUGAGUUUAGAAAGAAAUCACCCUCUCCUUUUUGAAACAUCAGAAUGCUGUGGUUGUCCACCCACCCGGGAGCACACAACUUCCGGCACAGUUGGGUGUGGAAUAAAGAUGGCUGGACCGUGUCACUCACUGCGUGGCCUUAGGCCUGCCCCUUCCCCUCUCGGGGCCUCGGUGUGCCCAUAUGUACAAGGAAAGACUUGGAAGAGAUGGCGCCUCAGAGUCUAUGAUGCUCGGGGAUGUCUGGAUUCUAAUCAGGUUCAAAAUUCUCCCUGGAGGCUGGUCUGUGCAGUGGAGGAGGAAGCAGAGAUGCAGGGAGAUAGGGGGACUGGCCCACAGCUACCUGAAGAGACAGCACUGGGGAUGGGAGCAGAAACGGGAGUGUUCCUGGUCAACUGCUGCUCGGAGAUACCCAUGAGCUGGCCCCAAACAAACUCAGCGUCAGUAAUGGAAGCAACAACUCCCAUUCAACAAUCAGGAAACACCAAAAGGCUUCUGUUAUAUAUUAAAAUAUACUCAUGACUAUUAAAAUAACAAACGCUCACUAUGUGCUUUGUAAAAUCGCCUAGUUUACCAUACUUCGGAAAUGCUGACCUGGUCAGUCCUGAUCACUGUACAAUGGGUGUGUCUGGGACCCCGGAGAUGGUAGUAUAGGGCAGGGUUAAUGCCUUCAGAUUUAAGCAGAUUUGCAUUCAGACUUCAGCUCUCCCAGCACGUGGCAAACGCUGUGUGUUAGCCAUUACUAUUAUUAGGUACUGUAAAAUAAAAUUAUUGCACACUGGAAAAUGUAAAAUAAAAAGUGAACUUAUUCCUCAUGGUUAAAAAACAAGUUGCAUAUGACAUACACUUAAUUAGGCAUCAAAGACCUCCAGAAAGAUUCUGGAGCACUGAGUUUGGGGCGCUCUGUUACUUAGCAUUGUUGGGCAAUAGCUGACUGACACAGAUGUGAUCAUGGUAUAGUAGUUUGCUUUAAAACAAGCCCCCACCUUUUAGAGAUACAUACUAAAAUGUUUACAAAUGAAAAAAAUUAAGACAUUUUAAGAGAAAAAUUGUACUCUAUUGCCAGACCAUACAUCAGACAAGUGUUCUACCUGGAGUUUACUCGAGCUUCGUGCCCCUGAGUGCCUGUCUCCUCUCCUGCAGUGGUUCCAGGGGUCUGGAGUCCUGGGGUGUCAAAGCUGGCAUUGCGGGGGCAGGGCGGGGUGCUUUGGACUAUGCUGUCCAUGUCCUCAUUUGGGGAGUCCAUGGACGAUGGAGGUAAAGUCACUGCGAGCUGAGGCUCCACCCAGGACUCCUGAUGCGCCCGCUUUCCGUUCCUCCACACUGGUAAGAGCAGGAGGCCACAGCUGGCUCUGGGCAUCUCCCCCACUCCCAGGCUCCAUCUCUGACUCAGAAUUGCCAAUGAACGCAAGGAAAUAUUUUCCACUUUUCAGCCUCUGUCUGUGCAAAAAUCCCAUUAAGCAGCCUGUCCAGA